GGCAGAGAGAGCUCGGCUCCCGUCGGUCCCCUCGGACCGAUGAGGAAAGUCCCCCCACCGUCCGGACAGGCGACCCGGCGCAAGCCGGGAGUCGGAGACGGCUGGCUCUGGAACAGAAACGAAACCCCUCGGCCCGACCGAUGAGGCGCGGGCGGCGACCGCCGCCCGGUGCGAGCGGGGUGACCCGAACGCACGCGACCCGACCCGUGAGGGAAGGAAGCGAACCCGUCGAGGGCCGCGCGGCCGCAACGCGGCCGCGGAAUGCGACCGGGCGACUCGCCCGGUCGCCGACGGCCGAGAACGGAUGGAACGGCGAAUCCUCGCCGGUGCAAGGCCGCGCCGCAAAGGUAGUCCGGACAGGGCGCGGCUGCUCAGCCGAAUGCCGAGCCGAACAGAAGGGGGCUUACUCCUCUCAGCC
This 418-nucleotide RNase P RNA is filed under the name Halobellus salinus. RNAcentral's name for it is "Halobacteriaceae archaeon CSW2.24.4 Archaeal RNase P". It matches the Rfam family "Archaeal RNase P". Rfam says of the family: Ribonuclease P (RNase P) is a ubiquitous endoribonuclease, found in archaea, bacteria and eukarya as well as chloroplasts and mitochondria. Its best characterised activity is the generation of mature 5'-ends of tRNAs by cleaving the 5'-leader elements of precursor-tRNAs. The record is from Rfam by way of RNAcentral. Lineage: Archaea; Methanobacteriati; Methanobacteriota; Halobacteria; Halobacteriales; Haloferacaceae.